UGGCCCAUCUUGUCUUGUACUAUCUUUGGUAUUGCUGAUAUAUCCCAUCAUUAGUUUGGAGAAGAAUAGCAUUGUAUAAUUCGAUUUUUGUCUGUUUGCGAAUGCCACAGCAGUCCUGAACCUUUGCUCUGAGUCAUCUGAGGGGUGCAUAAUACAUGGAACAAGGUCAAAAGGGCCCAAAAUGGUGCAUCUUGCUCGUAACCCGAAAGAUAUGAUUGUCUCCUACUACUACCACUUGUCACAAGAGGGAAAAUUCACACUGUCUUACUUACUGGAACGUUACAUUGCCAAUGAUAUGAGGGAAACCCACCAAUUCGACUUUUUGCGUCAGAUGCAACAGCAUCAGCAAAACAACCCGGAGGUUCCUGUCAUGACGAUCUACUACGAGGACAUGAAGGAG
RNA transcript from Aplysia californica (California sea hare), 400 nucleotides. RefSeq lists it as uncharacterized. Lineage: Eukaryota; Metazoa; Mollusca; Gastropoda; Aplysiida; Aplysiidae. The transcript has 3 exons. The record is from RefSeq and is a predicted model, not a curated record.